This is a long non-coding RNA of Musca domestica (house fly), 401 nucleotides long. RefSeq lists it as uncharacterized. Lineage: Eukaryota; Metazoa; Arthropoda; Insecta; Diptera; Muscidae. The transcript has 2 exons. The record is from RefSeq and is a predicted model, not a curated record.
UCCAUUCCGAGUUCAAGUAAAAACAAGAAAAUUGAAUUUGAUUUUUUUCCGAAGAAUAUCUGCCAUCGUUGUCCCACUGGAUUUCCGCCUACGCAAACAAAGGUGUAGCUGUAGCCAUUUUGUAUUGUUCGUCUCCAUAGCGCUGUGUGAAUGGCUUCGUUGUAGAGAAUAGCAGGAAAGUUUUUCGCCGCUGGAAUCGCAAAUGAAAUUGAAAUUAUAAGCGGAUUCUAGGCCAUUAAGGGAAUAAGUAAGUCAUUUUAUUAUGGUCGGACUUUUAUCCAAUGAAGUGCAGCAGGCUCCAAAAUGGUCCAAAAGAUCCAGCUUUCUUCUCGGCAACAGUAGCAGCAGCAUUCGAACAAUCCAUAAGACGAUGAUGCUGUUGAUGAUAAUCUCCAUAUGUU